CCAAUAGCGUAUAUUAAAGUUGUUGCAGUUAAAAAGCUCGUAGUUGAAUUUCGGGGUCAGUAGGUUGGUCAUGCCACUGGUAUGUACUGGCCUCACUGAUUCCUCCUUCCUGAUGGGCCGUAAUGCCAUUAAUUUGGUGUUGCGAGGAAUCUGGACUGUUACUUUGAAAAAAUUAGAGUGUUUAAAGCAGGCUAACGCUUGAAUACAUUAGCAUGGAAUAAUGAAAUAGGACGUUCGAUCUUAUUUUGUUGGUUUCUAAGAUUGACGUAAUGAUUAAUAGGGAUAGUUGGGGGCAUUAGUAUUCAAUUGUCAGAGGUGAAAUUCUUGGAUUUAUUGAAGACUAACUACUGCGAAAGCAUUUGCCAAGGAUGUUUUCAUUAAUCAAGAACGAAAGUUAGGGGAUCGAAGACGAUCAGAUACCGUCGUAGUCUUAACCAUAAACUAUGCCGACUAGGGAUCGGAUGAUGUUAAUUUUUUAAUGACUCAUUCGGCGCCUUACG
RNAcentral lists this ribosomal RNA (500 nucleotides) under uncultured Glomeromycotina. RNAcentral's name for it is "partial small subunit ribosomal RNA". It matches the Rfam family "Eukaryotic small subunit ribosomal RNA", at positions 591 to 1092 of the family's 1831-position model. Lineage: Eukaryota; Fungi; Glomeromycota. The record is from RNAcentral.